AAAAAAAAAAAAAACUAAUUUUGAGAGAAAUAAAAACAAAAAAGUGAUUUUUUUUUUUUUCAAAUUCUGCUGCAGUUUCAGUUUGAGCUUAUAUCUCAAUUGGGAAACCAAUCAGAAGCCAAAGAAAGGCAAAAGGGUAUGAACACAAAGCAAUGAAAGUUGCAAAACCCAAUUAGGAAAACAGCAGAAAGAUUCUGAAUUUAUGAACAACUGAGAAUGGUACACAAAAAUUCAUUCAAAAAAAUAUAUAGAAAGAAAAAAAAAACUGUUCUUUCACCCUUUUGCUGGGAAAAAAAAGGGUGAAGAAAUAACAGUAAAGAAAACCAACUUAGCACAAAAAAGGAAUAGGAAGCUCCAAAUUGAAAAAAGGCUAUGGCUAAUAAUAUAUGAAGAUGAAAAGAAAGUAAACAGCAAACAGAGGUUGGAGCAAUGAAUUUGCUGAAAAACAAAAAUGAGUGUAAUGAAGGUGGUGAGCUGUGAUUGGAUGUAAUCUUGUUUGUGGAUACUCCUUGCAAUUCCACAGCAGAAGUUCCCUCUUAUUAU
This 543-nucleotide long non-coding RNA is filed under the name Arachis ipaensis. RNAcentral's name for it is "long non-coding RNA (AIPA_LNC001718)". The record is from RNAcentral. Lineage: Eukaryota; Viridiplantae; Streptophyta; Magnoliopsida; Fabales; Fabaceae.